UUAAGAUCAUGAGAAGAGGAACAUGUGGUGGCUUUUUCUGGGUUUGCCUAAUUUUUUGCUCUGUAUGAUAUAUGUCUUGCUUGGUUAUAAGUUAUUAACGCUUCAAAAGCAAGCAGAUGCAAUUUCCUAUGCAACAACUACUCUUACUAUUUUGUUUCGACCAUCAAAUAAAUAAAAAUGCAAUAAACAAGUGCGUUAGAGAGGAGUAAUAUAAUUGGUUCACUUUGUUGGGU
This is a long non-coding RNA of Arabidopsis thaliana (thale cress), 233 nucleotides long. RefSeq annotates it as other RNA. Lineage: Eukaryota; Viridiplantae; Streptophyta; Magnoliopsida; Brassicales; Brassicaceae. The record is from RefSeq. The transcript has a single exon.